GUAUAUCUAUGGUCGGCACGUCUGGUAGCAUCUCUGGCUGCUGUUGACCUUGUUUUUGGAGUAAAACACGGUGGAAGCUGAAUUAGUGAGGAUGACUCCUGCUCCUGUCAUCUCUAAACUCCUCACACAUCUUUACCUGCACAUGAGGAAAAUCACUCCUGUAGAAUGCAGUGGUUCAUCAGAACCUCUGGGGAUGUCCUGUGGAUUCUGUGGAUCCUGUGGGUUGCAGGGUGGGUCCUACCUAGACCAGGCUGAUCCUGGACCAUCCCACAGAUGCUCAAUCAGAUCUGGAUGUGGGGAGUGUGGAACCCAGAUGUUCAGAGGGAGAUGAUGCCACAUCUGGUCCAGCUGAUGGAAGGUCUUGAAGUUCUCUGACUGGCCUCGACUGAAGAUGGUCGUCUCACUGGAUUUAAGAUGCACAAUGAGGGACGUCUGCAGCGACUGAGAAAGAGUCUCACCACAUCCUGACAUGAGGAAAAAGACUUAAUUGAAGACUGCAAUGAGAAAAACUAUCAGACAGCAGACGGCUGCAUUCAAGGUGAGCUCUGAACAUUUGAUCUGGAACAGGAAUUCAAUAACAGCAGCAUGAGCUUCAUUUCAGUCUGUCGCUGCUGAAUUCAUGGAUGAAUCAUCUGGCACUAGAGAAGAAGACCAUCAAACAUCCACGUCAGCUGAUGGAGGUCCAAGAGUCUCACCGAACAACCAACCUACAGAGUGAAGACCUUGAAUCUGAUUGGACGGCCUCCUAUUCAGCCACGUGUGAACAAAUGCCUCUAAGUUGAUUUGUUUUCUAAAAUAAAUCUAGUUUGAG
This is a long non-coding RNA of Amphiprion ocellaris (clown anemonefish), 811 nucleotides long. The record is from Ensembl. Lineage: Eukaryota; Metazoa; Chordata; Actinopteri; Pomacentridae.